GAGUUUGAUCCUGGCUCAGAUUGAACGCUGGCGGCAGGCCUAACACAUGCAAGUCGAGCGGUAGAGAGAAGCUUGCUUCUCUUGAGAGCGGCGGACGGGUGAGUAAUGCCUAGGAAUCUGCCUGGUAGUGGGGGAUAACGUUCGGAAACGGACGCUAAUGCCGCAUACGUCCUACGGGAGAAAGCAGGGGACCUUCGGGCCUUGCGCUAUCAGAUGAGCCUAGGUCGGAUUAGCUAGUUGGUGGGGUAAUGGCUCACCAAGGCGACGAUCCGUAACUGGUCUGAGAGGAUGAUCAGUCACACUGGAACUGAGACACGGUCCAGACUCCUACGGGAGGCAGCAGUGGGGAAUAUUGGACAAUGGGCGAAAGCCUGAUCCAGCCAUGCCGCGUGUGUGAAGAAGGUCUUYGGAUUGUAAAGCACUUUAAGUUGGGAGGAAGGGUUGUAGAUUAAUACUYUGCAAUUUUGACGUUACCGACAGAAUAAGCACCGGCUAACUCUGUGCCAGCAGCCGCGGUAAUAC
Molecule: ribosomal RNA, 522 nt
Filed under: uncultured Pseudomonas sp.
Lineage: Bacteria; Pseudomonadati; Pseudomonadota; Gammaproteobacteria; Pseudomonadales; Pseudomonadaceae
Description: bacterial SSU rRNA
Rfam family: Bacterial small subunit ribosomal RNA
Source: RNAcentral